UUUUCAGUAGAAGUAUGUCUCAUGCAAUAUAAGGGACAUAUUUAUACUAGAA
Molecule: microRNA precursor, 52 nt
Filed under: Marmota monax (woodchuck)
Lineage: Eukaryota; Metazoa; Chordata; Mammalia; Rodentia; Sciuridae
Source: RNAcentral